CUCCGGUUGAUCCCGCCGGACCUGACUGCUAUCGGAUUGGUACUAAGCCAUGCGAGUCAUUGUAGCAAUACAAGGCGGACGGCUCAGUAACACGUAGUCAACCUAACUCGUGGACGUGGAUAACCUCGGGAAACUGAGAAUAAACCACGAUAGAUCAUAGUGCCUGGAAUGGCUUAUGGUCCAAACAGUUUACUGCCAUGGGAUGGGACUGCGGCCUAUCAGCUUGUUGGUGAGGUAAUGGCCCACCAAGGCGAUUACAGGUACGGGCUCUGAGAGGAGAAGCCCGGAGAUGGGUACUGAGACACGGACCCAGGCCCUAUGGGGCGCAGCAGGCGAGAAACCUUAGCAAUGUGCGAAAGCACGACUGGGUCAGUCCGAGUGAUUCCUGAUAAAGGAGUCUUUUGCUUGUCCUAAAAGCACAGGUGAAUAAGGGGUGGGCAAGUCUGGUGUCAGCCGCCGCGGUAAUACCAGCACCUCGAGUGGUCAGGACGUUUAUUGGGCCUAAAGCAUCCGUAGCCGGCUUUGCAAGUCUUCGGUUAAAUCCACCUGCUCAACAGAUGGGCUGCUGGAGAUACUACAAAGCUAGGGAGUGGGAGAGGCAGACGGUAUUCAGUGGGUAGGGGUAAAAUCCUCUGAUCCAUUGAGGACCACCAGUGGCGAAGGCGGUCUGCCAGAACACGUUCGACGGUGAGGGAUGAAAGCUGGGGGAGCAAACCGGAUUAGAUACCCGGGUAGUCCCAGCUGUAAACGAUGCAAACUCGGUGAUGCAUUGGCUUAUGGCCAAUGCAGUGCCGCAGGGAAGCCGUUAAGUUUGCCGCCUGGGAAGUACGGACGCAAGUCUGAAACUUAAAGGAAUUGGCGGGGGAGCA
RNAcentral lists this ribosomal RNA (869 nucleotides) under uncultured archaeon. RNAcentral describes it as "bacterial SSU rRNA". It matches the Rfam family "Archaeal small subunit ribosomal RNA", at positions 1 to 878 of the family's 1478-position model. The record is from RNAcentral.